RNAcentral lists this ribosomal RNA (822 nucleotides) under Bacillus subtilis. RNAcentral describes it as "bacterial SSU rRNA". It matches the Rfam family "Bacterial small subunit ribosomal RNA", at positions 556 to 1375 of the family's 1533-position model. Lineage: Bacteria; Bacillati; Bacillota; Bacilli; Caryophanales; Bacillaceae. The record is from RNAcentral.
GGGCGUAAAAGGCUCGCAGGGCGGUUUCUUAAGUCUGAUGUGAAAGCCCCCGGCUCAACCCGGGGGAGGGUCAUUGGAAACUGGGGAACUUGAGUGCAGAAGAGGAGAGUGGAAUUCCACGUGUAGCGGUGAAAUGCGUAGAGAUGUGGAGGAACACCAGUGGCGAAGGCGACUCUCUGGUCUGUAACUGACGCUGAGGAGCGAAAGCGUGGGGAGCGAACAGGAUUAGAUACCCUGGUAGUCCACGCCGUAAACGAUGAGUGCUAAGUGUUAGGGGGUUUCCGCCCCUUAGUGCUGCAGCUAACGCAUUAAGCACUCCGCCUGGGGAGUACGGUCGCAAGACUGAAACUCAAAGGAAUUGACGGGGGCCCGCACAAGCGGUGGAGCAUGUGGUUUAAUUCGAAGCAACGCGAAGAACCUUACCAGGUCUUGACAUCCUCUGACAAUCCUAGAGAUAGGACGUCCCCUUCGGGGGCAGAGUGACAGGUGGUGCAUGGUUGUCGUCAGCUCGUGUCGUGAGAUGUUGGGUUAAGUCCCGCAACGAGCGCAACCCUUGAUCUUAGUUGCCAGCAUUCAGUUGGGCACUCUAAGGUGACUGCCGGUGACAAACCGGAGGAAGGUGGGGAUGACGUCAAAUCAUCAUGCCCCUUAUGACCUGGGCUACACACGUGCUACAAUGGACAGAACAAAGGGCAGCGAAACCGCGAGGUUAAGCCAAUCCCACAAAUCUGUUCUCAGUUCGGAUCGCAGUCUGCAACUCGACUGCGUGAAGCUGGAAUCGCUAGUAAUCGCGGAUCAGCAUGCCGCGGUGAAUACGUUCCC